AAAGCUCCGACGGUCAGGGAUGGGCUCGCGGCCUAUCAGCUUGUUGGUGGGGUAACGGCCCACCAAGGCGACGACGGGUAGCCGGCCUGAGAGGGCGACCGGCCACACUGGGAAUGAGAUACGGCCCAGACUCCUACGGGAGGCAGCAGUGGGGAAUAUUGCGCAAUGGGCGAGAGCCUGACGCAGCAACGCCGCGUGCGGGAUGACGGCCUUCGGGUUGUAAACCGCUUUCAGCAGGGACGAAGGGUUUCUGACGGUACCUGCAGAAGAAGCACCGGCUAACUACGUGCCAGCAGCCGCGGUGAUACGUAGGGUGCGAGCGUUGUCCGGAAUUAUUGGGCGUAAAGAGCUUGUAGGCGGUCCGUUGCGUCGGAAGUGAAAACUCGGGGCUUAACCCCGAGCCUGCUUUCGAUACGGGCGGACUUGAGGGAUGUAGGGGAGAACGGAAUUCCUGGUGGAGCGGUGGAAUGCGCAGAUAUCAGGAGGAACACCAGUGGCGAAGGCGGUUCUCUGGACAUUUCCUGACGCUGAGAAGCGAAAGCGUGGGGAGCAAACAGGCUUAGAUACCCUGGUAGUCCACGCCGUAAACGGUGGGCACUAGGUGUGGGACCCAUUCCACGGGUUCCGUGCCGUAGCUAACGCAUUAAGUGCCCCGCCUGGGGAGUACGGCCGCAAGGCUAAAACUCAAAGGAAUUGACGGGGGCCCGCACAAGCGGCGGAGCAUGCGGAUUAAUUCGAUGCAACGCGAAGAACCUUACCUGGGUUUGACAUAUGCCGGAAACAUCUGGAGACAGGUGCCCCGCAAGGUCGGUAUACAGGUGGUGCAUGGCUGUCGUCAGCUCGUGUCGUGAGAUGUUGGGUUAAGUCCCGCAACGAGCGCAACCCUCGUUCUAUGUUGCCAGCGGUUCGGCCGGGAACUCAUAGAAGACUGCCGGGGUCAACUCGGAGGAAGGUGGGGAUGACGUCAAGUCAUCAUGCCCCUUAUGUCCAGGGCUUCACGCAUGCUACAAUGGCUGGUACAAAGGGCUGCAAUAUCGCAAGAUGGAGCGAAUCCCAUAAAGCCAGUCUCAGUUCGGAUUGGGGUCUGCAACUCGACCCCAUGAAGUCGGAGUCGCUAGUAAUCGCAGAUCAGCAACGCUGCGGUGAAUACGUUCCCGGGCCUUGUACACACCGCCCGUCAAG
This 1182-nucleotide ribosomal RNA is filed under the name uncultured bacterium. Its description in RNAcentral is "bacterial SSU rRNA". It matches the Rfam family "Bacterial small subunit ribosomal RNA", at positions 202 to 1401 of the family's 1533-position model. The record is from RNAcentral.